RNAcentral lists this ribosomal RNA (900 nucleotides) under uncultured bacterium. RNAcentral describes it as "bacterial SSU rRNA". It matches the Rfam family "Bacterial small subunit ribosomal RNA", at positions 8 to 916 of the family's 1533-position model. The record is from RNAcentral.
AGAGUUUGAUCCUGGCUCAGAACGAACGCUGGCGGCGUGCCUAAUACAUGCAAGUCGAACGUGAAGUGUAGCAAUACAUGGAAAGUGGCGAACGGGUGAGUAACACGUAAGUAAUCUACCUUUAAGUUUGGGAUAACCUUGCCAACGCGGGGCUAAUACCGGAUGUGAUCAGUUGAGCGCAUGUUUAGUUGAUCAAAGGAGCAAUUCGCUUAAAGAUGAGCUUGCGGCCCAUUAGUUAGUUGGCGGGGUAACAGCCCACCAAGACCGCGAUGGGUAGCCGGCCUGAGAGGGUGUACGGCCACAUUGGGACUGAGAUACGGCCCAGACUCCUACGGGAGGCAGCAGUAGGGAAUUUUGCGCAAUGGACGAAAGUCUGACGCAGCAACGCCGCGUGAGGGAUGAUGGCCUUCGGGUUGUAAACCUCUGUUGGAUGGGAAAAAAAGCAGCAAUGUUUGAUGGUACCAUUCGAGUAAGCACCGGCUAACUACGUGCCAGCAGCCGCGGUAAUACGUAGGGUGCAAGCGUUGUUCGGAAUCACUGGGCGUAAAGAGAGCGUAGGCGGAUCGUAAGUUAGGAGUUUAAUCCACGGGCUCAACCUGUGAUCGGCUUUUAAUACUGCGGUUCUUGAGUAUGGGAGAGGGCGAUGGAAUUCCAGGUGUAGCGGUGGAAUGCGUAGAUAUCUGGAAGAACACCAGUAGCGAAGGCGGUCGCCUGGCCCAAUACUGACGCUGAGGCUCGAAAGCUAGGGGAGCAAACAGGAUUAGAUACCCUGGUAGUCCUAGCCGUAAACGAUGAACACUAGUUGCUGGAGGAGUCAAUCUUUUCGGUGACGAAGCUAACGCAUUAAGUGUUCCGCCUGGGAAGUACGCUCGCAAGAGUGAAACUCAAAUGAAUUGACGG